GCCGGGCGCGGUGGUGCGCGUCUGUAAUCCCAGCUACUCGGAAGGCUGAGCCCGGAGGAUUGCUUGAGUCCAGGAGUUCUGGGCUGCAGUGCGCUAUGCCGAUCGGGUGUCCGCACUAAAUUCGGCAUCAAUAUGGUGACCUCCCGGGAGCGGGGGGGGGGGACACCAGGUUGCCUAAGGAGGGGUGAAGCGGCCCAGGUCGGAAAUGGAGCAGGCCAAAACUCCUGUGCUGAUUAGAAGUGGUACAGCAGGUUUACAUGGUAAUUCAAUGUUUAAUAUUUGGAGGCAACUCCAUACUAGU
This is an unclassified non-coding RNA of Dipodomys ordii (Ord's kangaroo rat), 301 nucleotides long. It matches the Rfam family "Metazoan signal recognition particle RNA". From Rfam's summary of the family: The signal recognition particle (SRP) is a universally conserved ribonucleoprotein. It is involved in the co-translational targeting of proteins to membranes. The eukaryotic SRP consists of a 300-nucleotide 7S RNA and six proteins: SRPs 72, 68, 54, 19, 14, and 9. The record is from Ensembl. NCBI's taxonomy places the organism in Eukaryota, Metazoa, Chordata, Mammalia, Rodentia, Heteromyidae.